RNAcentral lists this ribosomal RNA (1217 nucleotides) under uncultured bacterium. Its description in RNAcentral is "bacterial SSU rRNA". It matches the Rfam family "Bacterial small subunit ribosomal RNA", at positions 171 to 1387 of the family's 1533-position model. The record is from RNAcentral.
GCAUGAAGCAGGGGCCCCCGCAUGGGGAUAUUUGCUAAAGAUUCAUCGCUGAUAGAUAGGCAUGCGUUCCAUUAGGCAGUUGGCGGGGUAACGGCCCACCAAACCGACGAUGGAUAGGGGUUCUGAGAGGAAGGUCCCCCACAUUGGUACUGAGACACGGACCAAACUCCUACGGGAGGCAGCAGUGAGGAAUAUUGGUCAAUGGCCGAGAGGCUGAACCAGCCAAGUCGCGUGAGGGAUGAAGGUUCUAUGGAUCGUAAACCUCUUUUAUAAGGGAAUAAAGUGCGGGACGUGUCCCGUUUUGUAUGUACCUUAUGAAUAAGGAUCGGCUAACUCCGUGCCAGCAGCCGCGGUAAUACGGAGGAUCCGAGCGUUAUCCGGAUUUAUUGGGUUUAAAGGGUGCGUAGGCGGCCUUUUAAGUCAGCGGUGAAAGUCUGUGGCUCAACCAUAGAAUUGCCGUUGAAACUGGGGGGCUUGAGUAUGUUUGAGGCAGGCGGAAUGCGUGGUGUAGCGGUGAAAUGCAUAGAUAUCACGCAGAACCCCGAUUGCGAAGGCAGCCUGCCAAGCCAUGACUGACGCUGAUGCACGAAAGCGUGGGGAUCAAACAGGAUUAGAUACCCUGGUAGUCCACGCAGUAAACGAUGAUCACUAGCUGUUUGCGAAUACACUGUAAGCGGCACAGCGAAAGCGUAAGGUGAUCCACCUGGGGAGUACGCCGGCAACGGUGAAACUCAAAGGAAUUGACGGGGGCCCGCACAAGCGGAGGAACAUGUGGUUUAAUUCGAUGAUACGCGAGGAACCUUACCCGGGUUUGAACGCAUUCGGACCGAGGUGGAAACACCUUUUCUAGCAAUAGCCGUUUGCGAGGUGCUGCAUGGUUGUCGUCAGCUCGUGCCGUGAGGUGUCGGCUUAAGUGCCAUAACGAGCGCAACCCUUGCCACUAGUUACUAACAGGUAAAGCUAAGGACUCUGGUGGGACUGCCAGCGUAAGCUGCGAGGAAGGCGGGGAUGACGUCAAAUCAGCACGGCCCUUACAUCCGGGGCGACACACGUGUUACAAUGGCGUGGACAAAGGGAGGCCACCUGGUGACAGGGAGCGAAUCCCCAAACCACGUCUCAGUUCGGAUCGGAGUCUGCAACCCGACUCCGUGAAGCUGGAUUCGCUAGUAAUCGCGCAUCAGCCAUGGCGCGGUGAAUACGUUCCCGGGCCUUGCACA